Molecule: ribosomal RNA, 801 nt
Filed under: uncultured Pelagibacteraceae bacterium
Lineage: Bacteria; Pseudomonadati; Pseudomonadota; Alphaproteobacteria; Candidatus Pelagibacterales; Candidatus Pelagibacteraceae
Description: bacterial SSU rRNA
Rfam family: Bacterial small subunit ribosomal RNA
Source: RNAcentral
GCUGGCGGCACGCCUAACACAUGCAAGUCGAACGAAGUAGCAAUACUUAGUGGCAGACGGGUGAGUAACAUGUAGGUAUCUACCCUUUGGCCUGGAAUAACACGAGGAAACUUGUGCUAAUACCGGAUAAGUCUUUACGGAGAAAGCUUUAUGCACCAUUGGAUGAGCCUGCACUUGAUUAGUUUGUUGGUGGGGUAAUGGCCUACCAAGACUGUGAUCAAUAGCUGAUUUGAGAGGAUGAUCAGCCACAUUGGGACUGAGACACGGCCCAAACUCCUACGGGAGGCAGCAGUGGGGAAUCUUGCACAAUGGAGGAAACUCUGAUGCAGCGAUGCCGCGUGAGUGAAGAAGGCCUUUGGGUUGUAAAGCUCUUUCGUCGGGGAAGAAAAUGACUGUACCCGAAUAAGAAGGUCCGGCUAACUUCGUGCCAGCAGCCGCGGUAAUACGAAGGGACCUAGCGUAGUUCGGAAUUACUGGGCUUAAAGAGUUCGUAGGUGGUUGAAAAAGUUGGUGGUGAAAUCCCAGAGCUUAACUCUGGAACUGCCAUCAAAACUUUUCAGCUAGAGUAUGAUAGAGGAAAGCAGAAUUUCUAGUGUAGAGGUGAAAUUCGUAGAUAUUAGAAAGAAUACCAAUUGCGAAGGCAGCUUUCUGGAUCAUUACUGACACUGAGGAACGAAAGCAUGGGUAGCGAAGAGGAUUAGAUACCCUCGUAGUCCAUGCCGUAAACGAUGUGUGUUAGACGUUGGAAAUUUAUUUUCAGUGUCGCAGCGAAAGCAAUAAACACACCGCCUGGGGAGUACG